UUAUAACCUGAAGUUAAUUCAAGAAAUUUUAUUCCUCCAUAAAAUAAAAUCCAUAGCACUUUGAAAAAGUUAGUGCUGCAAGCUCAAUGAGAAUACAUUUCUACAAAGAAUAAACACUCAGUAAAUUCUCAUAAUAAAAAAAACAGACCAUAGCUUAAUCUCUCAGAUAACAAGGAAACUUUCUUAUGAGUUAAUUAUACAGAUUAACUUUAUAAUAUUUUCAAUUCCCAAAGUAUUUUAAAGUAUAGUCUUAUAUUGGUAUGAAUGUAUGUAGAAUAAGAUGAAGUUCUAAUAAUUUUUAUUAACUUUAAGAGUAUAUUAAUAUUGAUUUAGCAGUAAUUAUAUGAGAAAUUGACCAGGAUAAUCUUCAGUUCCAGCAAUGUGGGAGAUCACAUUAAUAAUAACAUUUUUAAAAAUAGUAAAAACAAGUUUAAAAAACUGUCAAAGUUAAGAAAUUAUUGACUCAUAUAUAAAACAAUGAAUUGCAGUUGAAUAAUCUCAAGUUAUGACAGGCUAAACUAGAAAAACAAAAACAAGAAACUCUCUACUAGCACAGGGAUCUAUCUUCUAUCUAUCUUCCAUCAUCUAUCUUCUCGCUCCCUAGGCGCUGGGUCUCCAGAUCAUUGAAAAACAAGGGACUUCAUGGCGUUUGGGGUUUGGAUUUCCAUUGUUCACACUACAUAAGAACAUCUGCUUCUCUCCCCAUAAUCAAAUGUUUAAAGUAAAAUUUGUUCUUGACUAAUGAUUCUCCAGAGGGUCAUAGUUGAAGAAGUUUUCACAGAAAAGCAAGCCCACCAAAUGUGUGCAAAAAUUAAAUGCGUUAUUAAAAUUCUAUGAAAACACAAGCUGCCAUGACUGAGAAGUGCGCUGAAUGAAUACAGCACAGGGGUGCAGAAAACAUGGAAGAUUGUUUAAGAGACCAGGAGAUGAGGGUGUGAAGCCCUGGCUGCAUGUCUAACAAGAAUCAGAGAAGAGAAGCUGAGGAAGAAAAGAAAGACUCAGUUAAGCAACAGAAGUAACGAGUGCAACACACAUGGGACAACAGAGAGUUUACUGUUCACAAUUAUUCUUGAAAAAAAUAUUUUAAUAUGUUCUUCAUGAAGAUGGAACUAAAAUCCAGAGGGAAAAAAGAAUAAAAUGCAAGACUCUGUGGUGAAGAAGUAAAUUUGUAUAUAUGUGGGUAAUAUAAAAAUUAAUUUUCUAAUAUUAAAAAUAAAAAAUUAUAAAACUGUAAUUAAGAUCAAUAUAAUGUAUAAAUUGGAGGGAUAUGGAGAGAAAGCGAAAGUGUAUUUUGGAGAAACAGAAUGUAUGGGAUUCCAAACCAGCAGAGCUAAAGAAUACAAAAUCAAGAAAAAUAACUGAUCAAAUAGAUGAAGGGAAAAAAGCACAACAAAUACGCACCACUAAAUUAGAUAAUAAAAAUAAAUCUAGGGCCAGUCCUGGUGGUCUAAUCGUUAACAUCUAGCGCUCUCUGCCUCAGCAGCUCGGGUUUGCUUCCGGGUCGCAGAAUCACCCCGCCCGUAUGUCAGUUGCCAUGCUGUGGUGGUGGUUCAUAUAGAAGAAUCAGAAGGACUUAGAACUGAGAUGUACAACCAUCCACUGGGGCCUUAGGGGGAAGAAGGAAAAAAAGAAGAGG
Molecule: long non-coding RNA, 1636 nt
Organism: Equus asinus (donkey)
Lineage: Eukaryota; Metazoa; Chordata; Mammalia; Perissodactyla; Equidae
Source: Ensembl